ACGAACGCUGGCGGCGUGCUUAACACAUGCAAGUCGAACGGGAUUUAGUAAACAGAAGCCUCGGUGGAAGAUUACUAAUGAGAGUGGCGAACGGGUGAGUAAUGCGUGAGCAACCUGCCUAUGACAGUGGGAUAGCCUCGGGAAACCGGGAUUAAUACCGCAUAAAAUCGUAGAAACACAUGUUUCAACGGUCAAAGAUUUAUCGGUCAUAGAUGGGCUCGCGUCUGAUUAGCUAGUUGGUGAGAUAACAGCCCACCAAGGCGACGAUCAGUAGCCG
RNAcentral lists this ribosomal RNA (277 nucleotides) under uncultured bacterium. Its description in RNAcentral is "partial 16S ribosomal RNA". It matches the Rfam family "Bacterial small subunit ribosomal RNA", at positions 29 to 289 of the family's 1533-position model. The record is from RNAcentral.